GGAUCAGGUAGGAAUACCCGCUGAACUUAAGCAUAUCAAUAGCCGGAGGA
RNAcentral lists this ribosomal RNA (50 nucleotides) under Trypethelium eluteriae. RNAcentral's name for it is "partial 28S rRNA". The record is from RNAcentral. Lineage: Eukaryota; Fungi; Ascomycota; Dothideomycetes; Trypetheliales; Trypetheliaceae.